AGAAAACUAGUUAAAUAAUAACAUCGGCCUGUCAGACCGAAAUCGCUGAACAACAACUCAGCGUUCUCUA
Molecule: transfer RNA, 70 nt
Filed under: Henricia pachyderma
Lineage: Eukaryota; Metazoa; Echinodermata; Asteroidea; Spinulosida; Echinasteridae
Description: tRNA-Asp
Source: RNAcentral